AUUGAACGCUAACGGCAUGCUUAACACAUGCAAGUCGAACGGCAGCACAGUUGUAGCAAUACAAUGGGUGGCGAGCGGCGGACGGGUGAGUAAUACAUAGGAAUCUGCCUUGUAGUGGGGGAUAACCCGGGGGAACUCGGGCUAAUACCGCAUAAUCUUUACGAAGCAAAGUGGGGGACCGUAAGGCCUUACGCUAUAAGAUGAGCCUAUGUCGGAUUAGCUAGUUGGUGGGGUAAAGGCCUACCAAGGCAACGAUCCGUAGCUGGUCUGAGAGGAUGAUCAGCCACACUGGAACUGAGACACGGUCCAGACUCCUACGGGAGGCAGCAGUGGGGAAUAUUGGACAAUGGGCGAAAGCCUGAUCCAGCAAUGCCGUGUGUGUGAAGAAGGCCUUCGGGUUGUAAAGCACUUUUAGUGGAGAAGAAAACUCGAUCUCUAAUAUAGGUUGAGGCUGACGGUACCUUGAUAAGAAGCACCGGCUAACUACGUGCCAGCAGCCGCGGUAA
This 506-nucleotide ribosomal RNA is filed under the name uncultured bacterium. RNAcentral's name for it is "partial 16S ribosomal RNA". It matches the Rfam family "Bacterial small subunit ribosomal RNA", at positions 30 to 523 of the family's 1533-position model. The record is from RNAcentral.